This 76-nucleotide microRNA precursor is filed under the name Myotis davidii. RNAcentral's name for it is "mir-9229 microRNA precursor family". It matches the Rfam family "mir-9229 microRNA precursor family". The record is from Rfam by way of RNAcentral. Lineage: Eukaryota; Metazoa; Chordata; Mammalia; Chiroptera; Vespertilionidae.
GAGACCCCCCUAUGGAGCAGGACUUGCUUUAGUGGGGCUCUGGUGCUCGCUGAGUCUGCCUCUUGAGUGUGUCACU